AGUGCAGGAGCAAUAAGGUUAUUGACGCGGUUUGCAGGACCGUUAAUAUCAGGUUCGAGUCCUGCCUGUGCUU
Molecule: transfer RNA, 73 nt
Filed under: Iotrochota birotulata (green finger sponge)
Lineage: Eukaryota; Metazoa; Porifera; Demospongiae; Poecilosclerida; Iotrochotidae
Description: tRNA-Cys
Rfam family: tRNA
About the family: Transfer RNA (tRNA) molecules are approximately 80 nucleotides in length. Their secondary structure includes four short double-helical elements and three loops (D, anti-codon, and T loops). Further hydrogen bonds mediate the characteristic L-shaped molecular structure. tRNAs have two regions of fundamental functional importance: the anti-codon, which is responsible for specific mRNA codon recognition, and the 3' end, to which the tRNAs corresponding amino acid is attached (by aminoacyl-tRNA synthetases). tRNAs cope with the degeneracy of the genetic code in two manners: having more than one tRNA (with a specific anti-codon) for a particular amino acid; and 'wobble' base-pairing, i.e. permitting non-standard base-pairing at the 3rd anti-codon position.
Source: RNAcentral